CUGCAAACUAGAUCACUAGCUCUGCAUGGUGUUGUAGAAGCAAGGGGAACACGUUUGCUAAAUAAAAGUAUGCCGAAGGACUAUAUUAGCCUUAAAGACUUGUCUUUCAGGCCUGUAGCUCCUUCUCCAACAUGUUU
This is a small nucleolar RNA of Pseudophryne corroboree (corroboree frog), 137 nucleotides long. Lineage: Eukaryota; Metazoa; Chordata; Amphibia; Anura; Myobatrachidae. The record is from RefSeq and is a predicted model, not a curated record.